GUCGUACGAGAAUUUUUAAUUCAAGUGGCGGACGGGUGAGUAACACGUAAGAAUUUGCCUUUAGGAGGGGGAUAACAACUGGAAACGGUUGCUAAUACCCCAUAUGCUUUCGAGUGAAAUGGAUUUUUCCGCCUAGAGAGAAGCUUGCGGCUGAUUAGCUUGUUGGUAAGGUAAUGGCUUACCAAGGCGACGAUCAGUAUCUGGUUUGAGAGGAUGAUCAGACACACUGGAACUGAGACACGGUCCAGACUCCUACGGGAGGCAGCAGUGGGGAAUUUUCCGCAAUGGGCGAAAGCCUGACGGAGCAAUCUCGCGUGAGGGAUGACGGCCUAUGGGUUGUAAACCUCUUUUUUCAGGGAGGAAUAAAUGACGUGUACCUGAAGAAUAAGCAUCGGCUAACUCCGUGCCAGCAGCCGCGGUAAUACG
Molecule: ribosomal RNA, 426 nt
Filed under: uncultured bacterium
Lineage: Bacteria
Description: bacterial SSU rRNA
Rfam family: Bacterial small subunit ribosomal RNA
Source: RNAcentral